GGGGAUUUAGCUCAGAGGUAGAGCGCUUGCCUAGCAAGCACAAGGCCCUGGGUUCGAUCCCCAGCUCCG
Molecule: non-coding RNA, 69 nt
Organism: Rattus norvegicus (Norway rat)
Lineage: Eukaryota; Metazoa; Chordata; Mammalia; Rodentia; Muridae
Source: Rfam